Molecule: ribosomal RNA, 468 nt
Filed under: uncultured bacterium
Lineage: Bacteria
Description: partial 16S ribosomal RNA
Rfam family: Bacterial small subunit ribosomal RNA
Source: RNAcentral
GACGAACGCUGGCGGCGUGCUUAACACAUGCAAGUCGAACGGAAAGGCCCUGCUUUUGUGGGGUGCUCGAGUGGCGAACGGGUGAGUAACACGUGAGUAACCUGCCCUUGACUUUGGGAUAACUUCAGGAAACUGGGGCUAAUCCCGGAUAGGAGCUCCUGCUGCAUGGUGGGGGUUGGAAAGUUUCGGUGGUUGGUGAUGGACUCGCGGCUUAUCAGCUUGUUGGUGGGGUAGUGGCUUACCAAGGCUUUGACGGGUAGCCGGCCUGAGAGGGUGACCGGCCACAUUGGGACUGAGAUACGGCCCAGACUCCUACGGGAGGCAGCAGUGGGGAAUAUUGCACAAUGGGCGGAAGCCUGAUGCAGCAACGCCGCGUGCGGGAUGACGGCCUGCGGGUUGUAAACCGCUUUCGCCUGUGACGAAGCGUGAGUGACGGUAAUGGGUAAAGAAGCACCGGCUAACUACGUG